CAUGCAGGCGGUUCGUUAAGUUGGGCAUGAAAUCUCUCGGCUUAACCGGGAGGGGUUGUCCAAUACUGGCGGACUUGAGGGCAGGAGAGGGAAGCGGAAUUCCAGGUGUAGCGGUAAUAUGCGCAGAUAUCUGGAGGAACACCAGUGGCGAAGGCGGCUUUCUGGCCUGUACCUGACGCUAAGAUGCGAAAGCCAGGGGAGCGAACGGGAUUAGAUACCCCGGUAGUCCUGGCUGUAAACGAUGGAUACUAGGUGUGGGUGGUAUUGACCCCAUCCGUGCCGAAGCAAACGCGUUAAGUAUCCCGCCUGGGGAGUACGGCCGCAAGGCUAAA
Molecule: ribosomal RNA, 332 nt
Filed under: uncultured bacterium
Lineage: Bacteria
Description: bacterial SSU rRNA
Rfam family: Bacterial small subunit ribosomal RNA
Source: RNAcentral